RNAcentral lists this long non-coding RNA (515 nucleotides) under Pan troglodytes (chimpanzee). RNAcentral describes it as "lincRNA". The record is from RNAcentral. Lineage: Eukaryota; Metazoa; Chordata; Mammalia; Primates; Hominidae.
CAGUGUGUCAACCAGGGCUGGGAGCUCAUCUGAAGGCUCAACAGGAGAUGUAUCUACCACAGGCCUUUUCUCAGGAUAUUGUUGACACAAUUUAGCUCCUUGAGGGUGCUGGACUGAGGGCCUCACUUCCUAGAUGACUGUUGGCCAGGGGCCAUCGGCAAUUCUUUGCCACAUGAGCCUCUCCAGUAUUGCAACUUGCUUCAUCAAAGUGUGCAAGGCAAGAAGACAAAAAAGAGAGCUGCAAGAAAGAUGGAAACCAAGAUCUCAUGUAACCUAAUGACAGAGGACGAAGUCUUGCUCUGUUGACCAGGCUGGAUGGAGUGCAGUGGUGCGAUCACAACUCACUGCAACCUUGACCUCCUGGGCCCAAGCAACCCUCCUGCUUCAGCCUACCAAAGUGUUGGGAUUACAGGAAUGAGCUACCAUGCCCAGCCAAAAGCCCAGGGUUUUGUUGGAUGGUAGUACAAGGAGAUGCUUUCUCACUGCACCCCCACCUCCCAUCUUUGAGGAUAAAC